GCGUUCGUGGUGUAACGGUAGCACACUCGGCGCGUAUUCGAAAGGUCCAGGUUCGAGUCCCGGAGAAGGCA
Molecule: transfer RNA, 71 nt
Filed under: Stegodyphus mimosarum
Lineage: Eukaryota; Metazoa; Arthropoda; Arachnida; Araneae; Eresidae
Rfam family: tRNA
About the family: Transfer RNA (tRNA) molecules are approximately 80 nucleotides in length.
Source: Rfam by way of RNAcentral